This 460-nucleotide ribosomal RNA is filed under the name Nocardiaceae bacterium 'ARUP UnID 481'. RNAcentral describes it as "bacterial SSU rRNA". It matches the Rfam family "Bacterial small subunit ribosomal RNA", at positions 27 to 504 of the family's 1533-position model. Lineage: Bacteria; Bacillati; Actinomycetota; Actinomycetes; Mycobacteriales; Nocardiaceae. The record is from RNAcentral.
GGACGAACGCUGGCGGCGUGCUUAACACAUGCAAGUCGAGCGGUAAGGCCCUUCGGGGUACACGAGCGGCGAACGGGUGAGUAACACGUGGGUGAUCUGCCUCGCACUCUGGGAUAAGCCUGGGAAACUGGGUCUAAUACCGGAUAUGACCAGGAACUGCAUGGUUUUUGGUGGAAAGGUUUACUGGUGCGAGAUGGGCCCGCGGCCUAUCAGCUUGUUGGUGGGGUAAUGGCCUACCAAGGCGACGACGGGUAGCCGACCUGAGAGGGUGAUCGGCCACACUGGGACUGAGACACGGCCCAGACUCCUACGGGAGGCAGCAGUGGGGAAUAUUGCACAAUGGGCGAAAGCCUGAUGCAGCGACGCCGCGUGAGGGAUGACGGCCUUCGGGUUGUAAACCUCUUUCGACAGGGACGAAGCGCAAGUGAGGGUACCUGUAGAAGAAGCACCGGCCAACUAC